GUCCACGCCGUAAACGAUGAAUACUAGGUGUAGGGUUGUCAUGACCUCUGUGCCGCCGCUAACGCAUUAAGUAUUCCGCCUGGGGAGUACGGUCGCAAGAUUAAACUCAAAGGAAUUGACGGGGCCCGCACAAGCAGCGGAGCAUGUGGUUUAAUUCGAAGCAACGCGAAGAACCUUACCUAGACUUGACAUCUCCUGCAUUACCCCUUAAUCGGGGGAAGUUCCUUCGGGAACAGGAAGACAGGUGGUGCAUGGUUGUCGU
Molecule: ribosomal RNA, 262 nt
Filed under: uncultured bacterium
Lineage: Bacteria
Description: partial 16S ribosomal RNA
Rfam family: Bacterial small subunit ribosomal RNA
Source: RNAcentral